CUGUCUUCAGUUGCAACACUCACUACCAAGUUCCAAACUCCCUUUGGAUUUUAAAAGUAUUUUUUUAUUUAGUUAAGUUACUGUUUUACAUUUUACAUUCUUUAUUUAUGUUAUCUAUUUAUUUAUUUUACCCCCGGAAGUUAUCGUCCAACUCGUUUUUUCCCGGAUUAAUCCAACAUGGCUGCGUCCUUGUGAUUUACGAUACAUAUACAGUCAAGCUCCAAAACAAAUGAAAACAUGCACAUAAAAUAAGUAAUAAAGUGGAAUGUACGGGUGUCUAUGCUGUAUGCUUUCGGAAUAUGGACAAUGCUCGGCACAUACGGAUAUUAUCAGUACAUGGGGCGCAAUGAAGAAAAGUCCGUCAAAGAGAAGGAGGAACAACCUCCAAAUCCUAGAGAAUUGACUAUCCAGAGUGCACACAUGAAAUCCACCAUCGUCUACAAGGAAAACUGUUCCUUAUUCUACAAGGGUCUACAAUUUUGUCAGCUCGCUCAGUCGGGACUCUGCAUCGGCUGACAGCCAAGACAAUACAAAGUAAUGGUGAAAAAGUGAAAGCUGUAAUGAACUGAUGCCAUUGCCUGCCUAGGCUACCACAUUUGUGAUGUGUGUAGCAAAAAUACUUAGGAAUUAACACUGUAAAUUGUAUAUUGAAUAUAUCUCUGUGUAAAAUACACUGGCUGAAAUUAUUUGUACAAUGAAUUGAAAUACCACAGUAUCUCUCUGUUCGAGAACUCCCCUGCUAACCUAGAAACAUUCUCUACCUACACUGUACACGGUCUCAAUGCAAAGUGUAGACAACAUCUGUCUGUUGAACUUCUAGAUAUGGCAGUGAUAACCUGUCCUGUGCAUUGCUGCUGUAUUACAUUCAGUCCAAUCAGAUUUUUGCAAACAUCUGAAGUAGGAGCAUAACUUUUAUACAACUAGCAGAGUGUCUGACAGCUUGCCUAUACAUGAAUUUCAGCACUUCAAGAUAAAUCAAUAAAACUUCUGUCAAAUAAACUUAAUUUGUAAAUGAAGUGCAACUGCUAAUGAAAUGUUUGCUGUCGUCUGUGUUGAUCACGGUAAUGUAAUAUCCAUUUAUCUGAGGACACACUACACAUUAGCCUGUUAUGACCUGUGGAUUGUGUCUGGAUGAUAAAAUUGGGGGAGUACCAGUACCACUCACCACUUUUUAAUUGGAGGCAACUGUUAGCAGUAAAAUAUUUGACAGUUGAAAAUGUUAUGAUGUGAAGAGGGAAUUCAACAACUCUUGGAGGGUAGUGAAAGUAGAUUUUUUUUAAACAAUCUCUAAUUGAAAGAAAAUGACUGGAUAAAACAUACAACUGGA
Long non-coding RNA from Oncorhynchus nerka (sockeye salmon), 1327 nucleotides. RefSeq lists it as uncharacterized. The record is from RefSeq and is a predicted model, not a curated record. The transcript is spliced from 2 exons. Lineage: Eukaryota; Metazoa; Chordata; Actinopteri; Salmoniformes; Salmonidae.